Molecule: long non-coding RNA, 1316 nt
Organism: Camelus dromedarius (Arabian camel)
Lineage: Eukaryota; Metazoa; Chordata; Mammalia; Artiodactyla; Camelidae
Exons: 6
Source: RefSeq, a predicted model, not a curated record
CACUUCUCGAGUGUGGAGCUGUGAUGACCACAGAGACGACCGAGCUGGAGAGCACUGGAGAAGGAAACCCAGCAGGCAUGCUGUGAGGAGGUCCAAGAAGCCACGUGGAAAGUCCAAAUGGAAGACAAUUCAGGAUCUAGGACCCUCGUUCCAGCUGCGUUUCUGCCAAUGGCACCAACCUGCCAGAUAAGAAAUCUGAGGGAGAGAGACACAAAUCUCAUUCCGUGGCUCACAUCUUGAGAGACUCUUGCGAUUGGAGGCUAUCCUCACAUCUCUGCCAUCUGCUCUGCCUAAAACGAGAUACCCUCCACUCCCAAGAACCUCACAGGAAGAAAUACAGGAAAAGAUGGAGUUCAGUCACUUGGGUGUCUAUUACUAACAGAUAUCCUCACAGGUUCCAUCGCUGCCUCUCAGAACUGCCCACAACCCAUACUGGCGUCCUCUGUCUCUACGGAGUCCUCACUAUUACUAUGACUAUGUUCAUCUCAGUUAAGGCUUUCUUUUAGCUAAACUUGUUCAGAAAUCUGGUCUGAUUACAAUUGGCCAAACAAUGAUAAAUACUCCUGCCAACUGUCAGUCUCUUAACAGUCAAGGACCAACUACUUAUCUGUAGGCAUCAACUAUCCCCACUAACAAUACUUUCACUUCAGAUACAGAAGACACCCACCCAACUAGUUCAUAUAUGUUCAGUGACAGAGCCGCUUUGAACAAGGACCCAGGGGUCUGGCGAGUGCCGAAACGUUACCCCUGUCGCUCUUUCAAAGGCCGCUUCUUAUCUUUCAACUUAAGGAUCAAGCACUUUCCCACUUCACUGCCUUUUAACAAUAGUCAUACAUGAUUCCCUCAGACCAUAGACCACGGGAUUCUAACUCCCUUAUGCUAGAGAAUUCCUGUCCGCAACUAUGAUUGGGAUGGAAACACAAUUAUAGUAUUUCCAAGUGGCACCACAGCAACCUGAAGGACAGGAAAACCAGGAAACCUAGUAUUUUUUCCAUCACUGCACUCAGUGGACCAGAGCCCUUCACCAAUCCCAAGAGUGGGAAUCAGCAUGCAAGAUAUUUGGUUUCAAACCAAAUGGUUACGCUACCUUCAGUGCACUCCACUGCCUCAUUUGUUCUUCCUUGUUCCAGAGAAAACAAACAUGAAUAUAUUGUAAUUCAUGAUCUUAGGAAGGGCAGCCGUCAAGCAAACAGAGAUAAAUAGCAUAGAAAUAUGUUGGCAAACCAACAUACGCAUCAGUAUCUCCUACUAUUAACAACGUAACUAUAAAUGCACUAAGUUUACAUAGAACAAACUCCCAAAUCAUGCACUUCAUA